AAGUCGUAACAAGGUUUCCGUAGGUGAACCUGCGGAAGGAUCAUUAUCGAGAGAGGGGCUUCGCGUCCCCGGGGGGUUUCGGCCCCCCAACUCUUCACCCCAUUGUCAAUUACCCCUUGUGCUUUGGCGGAUUCCGGGGUAUGUCUUGCGAAGUUUGUCAUAAACCCGUGCGAGAUGUGCCCCGGCGCCCGCCGGGGCCCAUUAAAAUCGUUUACAGUGAUGUCCGAGUAAAAAACCAAUAAUAAAAA
Molecule: unclassified non-coding RNA, 248 nt
Filed under: plant metagenome
Description: partial contains small subunit ribosomal RNA and internal transcribed spacer 1
Rfam family: Eukaryotic small subunit ribosomal RNA (bases 1-46)
Source: RNAcentral